Bombyx mori (domestic silkworm) is the source of this 84-nucleotide non-coding RNA. The record is from Rfam. Lineage: Eukaryota; Metazoa; Arthropoda; Insecta; Lepidoptera; Bombycidae.
UGAACUCAAAUUUGUAUGGAGUUGGACAGCGUUCCUACGUUUGCCACUAGGGGCACUGUUCCAACUCCAUACAAAAUUGAGUAA